This 423-nucleotide ribosomal RNA is filed under the name Campylobacter gracilis. Its description in RNAcentral is "bacterial SSU rRNA". It matches the Rfam family "Bacterial small subunit ribosomal RNA", at positions 29 to 450 of the family's 1533-position model. The record is from RNAcentral. Lineage: Bacteria; Pseudomonadati; Campylobacterota; Epsilonproteobacteria; Campylobacterales; Campylobacteraceae.
AGUGAACGCUGGCGGCGUGCCUAAUACAUGCAAGUCGAACGGAAUUUAAAAGAGCUUGCUCUUUUAAAUUUAGUGGCGCACGGGUGAGUAAUAUAUAGCUAAUCUGCCCCUUGCUGGAGGACAACAGUUAGAAAUGACUGCUAAUACUCCAUACUCCUUUUUACCAUAAGAUAAAUCGGGAAAGAAUUUCGGCAAGGGAUGAGACUAUAUCGUAUCAGCUAGUCGGUGGGGUAACGGCCUACCGAGGCUAUGACGCGUAACUGGUCUGAGAGGAUGAUCAGUCACAUUGGAACUGAGACACGGUCCAAACUCCUACGGGAGGCAGCAGUAGGGAAUAUUGCGCAAUGGGGGAAACCCUGACGCAGCAACGCCGCGUGGAGGAUGACACUUUUCGGAGCGUAAACUCCUUUGUUAGGGAAGAAU